This 163-nucleotide ribosomal RNA is filed under the name uncultured bacterium. RNAcentral describes it as "partial 16S ribosomal RNA". It matches the Rfam family "Bacterial small subunit ribosomal RNA", at positions 355 to 509 of the family's 1533-position model. The record is from RNAcentral.
UAGGGAAUUUUCGUCAAUGGGCGCAAGCCUGAACGAGCGAUGCCGCGUGAGUGAAGAAGGCCUUCGGGUCGUAAAGCUCUGUUGCGGGGGAAAAAAGGACAUCUGCAGGAAAUGGUAGAUGACAGAUGGUGCCCCGCCAGAAAGUCACGGCUAACUACGUGCC